RNAcentral lists this ribosomal RNA (253 nucleotides) under uncultured bacterium. RNAcentral describes it as "partial 16S ribosomal RNA". It matches the Rfam family "Bacterial small subunit ribosomal RNA", at positions 524 to 776 of the family's 1533-position model. The record is from RNAcentral.
UACAGAGGUCCCAAGCGUUGUUCGGAUUCACUGGGCGUAAAGGGUGCGUAGGCGGUCGGGUAAGUCUGAUGUGAAAUCUCACAGCUUAACUGUGAAACUGCAUUGGAUACUAUCCGGCUAGAGGAAUGGAGGGGAGACUGGAAUACUUGGUGUAGCGGUGAAAUGCGCAGAUAUCAGGAGGAACACCGGUGGCGAAGGCGGGUCUCUGGGCCGAUACUGACGCUGAGGAGCGAAAGCGUGGGGAGCAAACAGG